This 69-nucleotide transfer-messenger RNA is filed under the name Campylobacterales bacterium. RNAcentral's name for it is "partial transfer-messenger RNA". It matches the Rfam family "transfer-messenger RNA", at positions 305 to 374 of the family's 374-position model. From Rfam's summary of the family: Bacterial tmRNA, also known as 10Sa RNA or SsrA, is named for its dual tRNA and mRNA-like properties. Lineage: Bacteria; Pseudomonadati; Campylobacterota; Epsilonproteobacteria; Campylobacterales. The record is from RNAcentral.
CGCCUAAGCAUGUAGAGUCAUGGUUCUAUCUAUUUUAGGACAGGGGUUCGAUCCCCCUCAUCUCCACCA